UACGUAGGUGGCAAGCGUUGUCCGGAUUUACUGGGCGUAAAGCGUGCGCAGGCGGUUAUUUAAGACAGAUGUGAAAUCCCCGGGCUCAACCUGGGACCUGCAUUUGUGACUGCAUAGCUAGAGUACGGUAGAGGGGGAUGGAAUUCCGCGUGUAGCAGUGAAAUGCGUUGAUAUCCUAAGGAACACCGGUGGCGAAAGCGGCUCACUGGAUCUCUUCUGACGCUGAGGCACGAAAGCUAGGGUAGCAAACGGG
This 253-nucleotide ribosomal RNA is filed under the name uncultured bacterium. RNAcentral's name for it is "partial 16S ribosomal RNA". It matches the Rfam family "Bacterial small subunit ribosomal RNA", at positions 524 to 776 of the family's 1533-position model. The record is from RNAcentral.